GGCACGAGCGAGAACACACCGGCGAGGUUACGCAGUGUGCGAGGAGAUGGCCGACGAACAGCAGCUCCCGCUCUACACGGAGGUGCUUAACCUCCCUCCUGCCAGUUCUGCAUGGUCAUGACCUGUCAUCACGCCCCUUCCACAUCCCACCUCGUCCUAUUGGUCCUGCUCCUUGUCACUCCGCCCCUGGCUGGGACCGCCCCUGCGUGGGUCGAGGGAGGGGCAGAAGGGGGCACCCGGACAGACCUGAGAGAGGACAACCUCGGCCCCUUUCUCUCGCCCCCGCCUCUGACCCUCUCCGGCCCUGACAACGGUUCGUUAGACCAGGGCCCGGGUCAAGACGACCAAUCAGAUAAAGGGAUGGACCCUAUGCAGGUGCUCGCUGUGCUGUUGGAGGCUCUGGACCACCCAGAGGAGGGAAAAAUCUAUGCCAGUAGAGACAGAGUUUUGGAAGAGGAUGAGAGUCAGAAACUGCCCUCCAUUGAAGGCGUCGCGGGUGGUGAGAAAAGAAGAACGGGGGAGACAGAGGGACAGAGGGGGGUGGAGGAAGAGGGGCGAGGGGCUGAUAAGGCAAUUGAACAGCUAAUUGUAGGCCAUUUGACAGCUGCUCAGGGGGAUGGCUCAAAAGAAAGGGAUGAGGAAGAUAAGACCACAAGGUCAGAGGAGAAUCAAGGGUGGUCUGGGAGGGAUGUGCGAGGCGAUAGCGUGAACAAGGAGGAGGAGGAGGAAGAUGAGGAGCAGAAGGACGGUCAUAGUUUGGAAAGUUUCCUAAAGAACGCCAGGCCAAGGACCCCCUCACUGGGAGAUGAUCCAUCUCUGCGGCGCAAAAUAAGAGGCUACUUCCAAAACAUUGACUUGGGUCUCCAAGAUAAUGAGAUCCUGCCUCCUCUGAAGGGCUACAAGGCAUACAACACUCAGCUCGCGCGAGCCGGAAAGAAGCUGCACUGGGAGGGGAACCAGGACCGCAACCGACCCUCCGACGGCGGCGGCGGCGCCGGCAACUUCAUGGAUGAGUUUGAGGAUGAAGGAGAGGAGCUGCAGGAGGAGAUUGAGGAAGAAGAGGAGAGCCUCUCCCACAUGCAAGAAGAGGCGAGAGCGCGAGCAGAGAAACAGGAGGUUCUUCGCCAGCAGGAGGAGGCGGAGCGUGCCAGAGAGGAGGAGCAGAGGCUGGCAGACAUCGCCUCCGACAUGCUGCUGCAGUACAUGGGGAGGAAGCAGCAGUCCUACAUGAAACCCCGGCAGAAAAGCAGCCUGGGCCCCGCCAGCAACACCGCCGAGGACAAGCGCUCCGAGGAGGUCGUCGCCGACGAAGACGACGUCGACCAGCAGAUGAUCGACAGGCUGAUCGAGAUCAGCAGCAAGCUGCACCUGCCCGCCGAUGACGUGAUCGAGAUUAUCAACGACGUGGAGGAGAAGAAGAAGAAAAGGAAAGAGCUGCAACAAUUACCGAUCAACAGCAACCCUGUUGCCCCGCGCUUCAGGCCUCUGGUACCUCCUCCUCUGGCUGCUCCACCCAUGUACCACUACACCGCCUCGAAAAACCCCAAGAAAGCCCCUUAUAGGUACAACAAGUCCAACAAGAAAUGGCACAAGGACAAGGUCUUGUCCUAUAAGAAGGACUAUUGGUAUAAGCCUCAGAAGCAGCUUGACUACUGGUAUAAACCCCAGAAACAGUUUUUAGCCUUCCCCUCCUACCCAUACUACCAGAAGCCAUAUCGAGCAUACUACCCGGUUUAUUUCCCAUAUCCCAAAGCACAAUAUUAUGGCAAACCCUCUCCCUCCAUAGAACAGCCGUUCGGCCCCCAGGAACUCGACUUCCAGCCCCCGAGGCGCAGGCACAGGGCCGGGGGUAAGAACCGCGGACAGGGCUGGAGGCAGCAGCCGGCGCCUCGCCUGCCGCUCAGCCCUUAUAUCUCUAACUACAUCCUUCCCCACCCACGGACCUACCAACCCCUGCCCCCGCCCAAACCAAUAACCCCACCCAGGAGAGGGAGGCGACCCCCGUACUACUAUCAACAAGUCACGCCGGGAGAUGACUACGAGGAAGAUGGUCUGGUGCCUCAGUUGGACAGUGAGGAGGAGCUGGAAAACUUUAUUGAGAGGAUCUACAUGAAACGUAGAAUGUAUUGAGAGACUUUUUGGACAUUCGUCGGAUCAGACGGGCUGGCCAGAGGUGGGAUAGAUAUUCAGUAGCUGGAGAAAAGCUAAAAGAGAAUGUGGGUCGGGGGUAAGAUUCAGGGGGCGACGGGUUUUGAGCCUGAAUGAAAUUGAAGGGUCUUGGUGUGAAAUGUUUGAUUUAUGUUGUUUUACUCAUUUUAUUUUUACUUUCUCGGUCAGGGGGAGGAUGAACGGUCCCAGUUGAAUCUCCCUGUAACCACAUUAGCCUCUUGCUCAGUUUACAUUUUGAAACAGAACAUACCAUGGUGUAUGUCCGCCUCCAUUCAGGUCAAUCUCUGAAUCUCUUACAUUGUUCAGAGGGAACACACACACACACACACACACCAACUUAUAAGCACAUUUUUGACACUUUCACAAGCAAAUGGGCCCAUUUUCAAAGAACCAUGUUUACAAUAUCACUUGUUUUAUAUUCUGUAUGUCUUAUUACAAAACUAAAGUAAUUCUCAAAUAUAAAAAUAACAACACUGCCAUUGUCAAUUCUUCAAUGAAAGUAUUUUUUUUGUUGUUAUUUGAUGUUUGUAGUUUCCUGUCCUAUUGUCGAUUGGAUCAACUUGUAACAAUUUGCAAACGUGCCAAACAACCACAUAUAGACAUUUCAGUUUUUCAAAAAAUUCAGAUUUUUUUCCUUUCAAGCUCAUGGUUUUAAAAGGGUUUUCCCUCUGCAUAAUAUUAUCAUCACAACCGAUCCUAAAAGAGAAACCCUGUGGAAUCCAAAAGCACAAACUGAAAACACUAAACACUUCCAACCUGGUGGUCAAAGAAUGUUUAUCAUUCUCUCGAUAUUUGUGGAUCCACCAGUUCACCUUUGACUUCUGGGACUCCUUGAACUUUUAGGAGUCAUUUUUAUCUUCCUCACCUUCCCCAAUUGUUCAUCUCCAAUUACUGAUAAAGUGACAUCCUCACUCACUUUUUUUAGGGUUUUUUCACAUAUUGUUCUUUUUGCCAUAUUUCUUGAAUCCUGUAUUUAUUUUGUUUUUUUUCCUUUGCUUCCCAGCAAAAAAAGGAUACUUGAAAUCACAAUCUAUUUAGCGGCUUUUUAAACCGAAAGCCGACAAGAGGCUACACACGUUUUUUUUCUCAGAAGAAUUUCAUUGAAAAGUUUCAGGCCCGGGGAGUCAGGGAUUGUGCUUAAAACCGUUAAAUGCACGUCUUUCUACUUGCAUCUUAAAAAAUGAACAAAAAAAAAUAAACAAAAAAAGAGAAAAAAUAAAACAGUAAAGGAAAAAUCCAGAUGGUUGUUUUCUCUGAAUAAACUGUGAACAUUAAAAAAAAGAAAUCUCAAAAGGAGGAAGGCCACUGUGUCCACAGUGAAGCCAUCUGUCUUGUAAAAGGAGAGUGUUGUUGUUGAUGUCACCUUUAGCAUUGUAACAUGUACAGUGUGAAAUAAAUAUGCCCGUGCAAUGUGUAAAUAACAGCAUGAUGAUUACUAGUUUUGCUAUAUGAAAAAAAAUAAAGGUAAUUAUUUUAUUAAA
This is a long non-coding RNA of Gasterosteus aculeatus aculeatus (three-spined stickleback), 3650 nucleotides long. NCBI's taxonomy places the organism in Eukaryota, Metazoa, Chordata, Actinopteri, Perciformes, Gasterosteidae. The record is from Ensembl.